UUCGUUUUGGUUCUCUCGCUCCAGUCCACCUCCUCUCCCACCCUUGAGCCCGCUGCCCCCGACCCCUCCGACGGCGCCGCCGACCCCUCCUGCCUCCCCGACCGCCUCUUCUGCUCCCUCAAGCUGGCCCUCUCCCUCCCCUCCCGCCGGUUUGUCACCGAGUCGGUCGCCGCCUCGGUCCUGCUCCUUCGUCGGCACCCAUGAAUACGUCGCCCACGAGGUCGCCAUCGGCCGCUUCUACGGCAGCACCGUCGAUUGAUGGGCCUACAACAUCCUUCUCUACGAGUUUUUCUAUGGCCGGACCCCCUUCGUUGGGCCCAGCAACAAGACCACCCUCCACAACAUCGUCAAGCAACCCCUCGCCUUCCCCCCGGCUGGCGGCCCGGCCAACUCCGCCGCUCGGGACCUCAUCUCUGGUCUGCUCAUCACGGACCCAGUCUCCUGAUUCGGUUCGAUACGCAGAGCCGCCGACGUCAAGGCCUACCCCUUCUUUAAAGGCUUGAAUAGUUGAACCUAGCUCUCCUUCGCUCUUACCGCCCCCGAUCAUCCCCCCACUCUCCGGAUCGGAUCGAAGACUAAGAGGUAUGAAAGUAUGAAACCCUAACUCUAGAUCUACGCUUUUCGCUCCUACAUUUCACCUUGUUCCGCAUUUUUGUUUGAUUUCCCGUCAAAUCUCGAUGAGAGAGUCCUAGAAGUGUGGAUUUGUUAGGGUUUCUGUUUCGAACGCGACCUGUUGCGGGUGAUUCCCGCUUUUUGGAUGCUACUUUCCCCCAAUCUAGCAUUCUCUUGAAGCAUUUGAAGUGGAUUGUUGUUUUGAUGGUGGAUUUUGGAUUCUUGCCUCUUGAUUUUGGUCUUCUUUGCCUCUAUAAAAAAUUAAGAAUAGAUCUGAAAAGGGGCCGGUUGUAUAAUGAUUUUCCUUCUCUUUUUUUCUUUUUUUUUUGGCAUGACCUGAUGGAUGUAAUACUAUUGUUGGUUAUAUGUUUACUGGAUUAUGCUUGUAAUUUUGGAUGCUAUCAGCCAAAUAAGAGGCAGCAAUCCUGAACAAGUUGGGCAAACAUGUUAAACAGAUCGGAUCGGGUUGGGCAAAAAGAUUAAACAGGUCGAGUCAGGAUGAGUUGGGCUAAAUAGGUUAAAUAGAUCAGAUCAGAUUGGGCAAACAAGUUACCUGUUUAUUAAACAAGUUAAAUGGGUCGGAUCACAUUACCUGCUUAUUAAACAUGAUAGGUUCAUAUUGUAAUUUCUGACAUGUUUAAUAAACAGGUCGGGUUCAGGUUUAUGAUUUUCUAACCCGAUCCGUUUAUAUCUGACCUGACCCAAUUGCCACCCCUACUUAUAUAUGUUGAAAAAAUAUUGUCUAAAAAUUGUUAAAUUUUUAGAUUUUAUUUUAGUAAAUUAUUUUUUAUAAUACUUAUAUAAAAUAAAGAUACUAGAAGAACAUGAAUAUUAUAGUAGGCUUUGGUCGGCGUAUUUUUGCAGUUUAAUACGUCUUGAUUCAGGCAAUACUUUUCCAACAGUCUAAGAACGUGAAAUGCCAAUAAAAUUCAAAAAAAAAAAUCCAAUCCAAUUACUCUCUCACUAGUACUCUGUCUUCCAAGAUUUUCUUCUAUAGACAGAGUUCUUUUAUUUUUCUAUUUUUUGCUUUCUAUUUUUAUUAUUUUCUGGGCAACUGAAGGAGUCGAUUGGAUCAAGCUUUUCCAGUAAUCAUGCUCGUUAAAGGAGAAGAUUGGGGCUAAACCGAGUUAUUGUAUCUUGGGGACGAGAUUGCCGCAAACCUGCACUGCUGCACAUAAGGAGCAAAUCAUAUUCUGCGGUGUAUAUCAUACGUCUCGAUCGAGACAAGCUCUAUUUAAUUUUUUAAUUUUAUUUUAAUAAAUUAUUUUUUCAUAAUAUUUUUAUAAAAUAAAGAUAUAGCAAUUUUUAGGCACCAUUUCUCUAAUGGUGAGAUAAAAUAUUUUCAAAAAAUUUGUUUGGUUUAAUUUAAAUUUUGUUUGGGUGUCUCUAAGGCUUAAAGGUUGACGAUUUACUAGCACAUCUCAACAAAAAAAAAAAAAAAACAAUACUUGUAGAUGGAAGGAAGUGUUCACCAGGAGCAGUGGGGAACAGUGAUCCUAAUUGGCAACAAAGGUGUCCCAUGUUCUGCUUCUCAGCCCAUGUCAUGGUAAAACUCUGUGCGCCUCCACAACUAUGAUGCAGCUCGAGUUGCUUAUCUUCACGAGUCCUAUCACUCUUUUUAUACCAAAAUCGAUAGCUUCAAAUCGACAGGUUUGACGAGGGAGCUAAGAAGUACGGGGAUCAUGAUUGCCUAGUAUAAAUGGCUGGCUAGAAAUGAGCAUGUCUUCCACAACUAUGAAAAGCCAUGAAUUGAUCUGCCUAAAAGCCUCUAUCUAAGCCCCUAAGAGACCUUUGAUGACUAUGGCUCUCUCCGUAUAGAUUCCGUCGCUCCUCAGGUGAUUUUUUUUCUUUUAAGAACCACCACCCCUUUGCUCCCUCAAACUUAAUUUUUUGACGGCACUAAGAUAUGAUACUGGACAUUAUUGCGGCGCUGUCUUCGUCAUUAGGACCCACAGCGGCUCCCUUCUUGCACCAAGUGGUAUCCGAGUGUUUUGACACUGCCGAUCCCAAUGGCUAAAUUACGUGGGGCAUGGAAAAGAUUUCUACGUACUGUGAAGUGAUUAGGAGCAUCCAAAGUGGUGUUCGAGGGGGGAUUCAAAGACAUCUAUGAGGCAGCAAUUCGCACUUUUUGAUCUUGGAUUAUCGACUACUCUUACGCUUCUUUUGAGGUGGCACACAUGUAGAGAAGCAAAUAGUGUGUGGCCAUCUGUAUGGGACUCUGCUGCUCUUAUUCCUCUCUAGCUUCAGGAUCUUCUGUCUUCUGACUCUCAUAUGCAUACGAGGACCGUAUGAUAUAUCUGUUCCAGAAUUUAUCGAAGUUGGUCAUGUUCUCUUGACGAUUGUAGAAGGGACCUGAGUGUUCAUACCUUGCCGUAGCCAAAAUUCAAGAACUCAGAAAUGGAAUUGGCAAAUUUCAGGUGUCAAGUCGCACCACACAGUUCAGAAGUCAUCACGGAGGCAUGCUACACACGCUCAUGCUCUAACGUACCGAAGUUCUGCAAGGUCAAGUUGGCUAAAGUGCUCAACACAACAAGAUUAUGUCCAAAUGUUCAUGAAUCCUAUGAUUUCUCCGUAAGGAAAUAUGUAAGUUCUAUAUUCAUCUUUUGUGAAGCUGAAAGAUAUUGAUCACUUGGGAAUUCUAUCUUAUGUUCAAGUUUUUUAUUUAUUUUUUUGUGAAAUUUUACAAGAUAAGUUGAAUACAUCAAUAUAUUAACAGUUAAUGGUAACUAACAAGCGACAUAUGUUGCUUAGUAAACAGGUACUUAUUUAUAUUCGGUUCGGCAAAGAUGUUGUAUAAUCUC
Molecule: non-coding RNA, 3413 nt
Organism: Phoenix dactylifera (date palm)
Lineage: Eukaryota; Viridiplantae; Streptophyta; Magnoliopsida; Arecales; Arecaceae
Source: RefSeq, a predicted model, not a curated record